UUACUAAUUGAAAGAGUUGACACUGAAGAAUUCCUUCUCCUUUAACCUAGCGUCCUUCCAACAGCCAUUCACAAUGGUGAUUUUUUCGCACUCAAAGACCUGACUAUUCCUAGUUCUUUAGAGACUCUAGGUUCAAACCAGAGUUUGAUUUUUGAACCACUAUCCUUGCUGUCUUCGAAGAUUUCUUCAACUUGGUUGUAUUGGUGCAUGUCAUCUCAUGUGUAUUUGUCUCAAAUACUAUCAAAGUAAAUCAAGUGUGACUUUGUUGACAUACUUCUAGCUUUACACAGGAUUUUACUUGCUAAAAUCAGUGUUCACCCACGACAACUUUAUGUUGCUUUGUCAAGAGUUAAGAGUCGCAGUGGUCUCAGAUCUCUAACUCUGGACGAAGACGGCAAUGCAAAGUCAUCAACAACAAAUGUCGUGUUCAAAAAAGUUUUUAAUAAUAUUUAGACUUGAGAUGAAAUAUGUAAUAGGGAGCACAACAUCAUAUGCC
This is a long non-coding RNA of Arachis duranensis, 496 nucleotides long. RefSeq lists it as uncharacterized. The transcript has 5 exons. Lineage: Eukaryota; Viridiplantae; Streptophyta; Magnoliopsida; Fabales; Fabaceae. The record is from RefSeq and is a predicted model, not a curated record.